ACUUAAAUUGAAGAGUUUGAUCAUGGCUCAGAUUGAACGCUGGCGGCAGGCCUAACACAUGCAAGUCGAGCGGUAGCACAGAGAGCUUGCUCUCGGGUGACGAGCGGCGGACGGGUGAGUAAUGUCUGGGAAACUGCCUGAUGGAGGGGGAUAACUACUGGAAACGGUAGCUAAUACCGCAUAAUGUCGCAAGACCAAAGUGGGGGACCUUCGGGCCUCAUGCCAUCAGAUGUGCCCAGAUGGGAUUAGCUAGUAGG
RNAcentral lists this ribosomal RNA (257 nucleotides) under Klebsiella pneumoniae. RNAcentral's name for it is "partial 16S ribosomal RNA". It matches the Rfam family "Bacterial small subunit ribosomal RNA", at positions 1 to 252 of the family's 1533-position model. The record is from RNAcentral. Lineage: Bacteria; Pseudomonadati; Pseudomonadota; Gammaproteobacteria; Enterobacterales; Enterobacteriaceae.